RNAcentral lists this small RNA (24 nucleotides) under Brassica napus (rape). RNAcentral's name for it is "PsRNA_47". The record is from RNAcentral. Lineage: Eukaryota; Viridiplantae; Streptophyta; Magnoliopsida; Brassicales; Brassicaceae.
ACCAGUUCUGAGGGAUAUCAAAGC